Molecule: ribosomal RNA, 688 nt
Filed under: uncultured bacterium
Lineage: Bacteria
Description: bacterial SSU rRNA
Rfam family: Bacterial small subunit ribosomal RNA
Source: RNAcentral
AGAGUUUGAUCCUGGCUCAGGAUGAACGCUAGCGGGAGGCUUAAUACAUGCAAGUCGAGGGGCAGCAUGGGACUUCGGUCCUGAUGGCGACCGGCGCACGGGUGAGUAACGCGUACAGAACCUGCCUACGAGCGGGGAAUAGCCCCGGGAAACUGGGAUUAAUGCCUCAUAGCACCAUAAUGCCGCCUGGCAUAAUGGUUAAAGCUGAGGCGCUCGUAGAUGGCUGUGCGUGCCAUUAGCUAGUUGGCGGGGUAACGGCCCACCAAGGCGACGAUGGCUAGGGGGCGUGAGAGCGUGGCCCCCCACACGGGUACUGAGACACGGACCCGACUCCUACGGGAGGCAGCAGUAAGGAAUAUUGGACAAUGGGGGCAACCCUGAUCCAGCCAUCCCGCGUGCAGGAUGACGGCCCUACGGGUUGUAAACUGCUUUUGCGAGGGAAGAAAUAAUGCUAUUGAUAGUGUUUUGACGGUACCUCGAGAAUAAGCACCGGCUAACUCCGUGCCAGCAGCCGCGGUAAUACGGAGGGUGCAAGCGUUAUCCGGAAUCACUGGGUUUAAAGGGUGCGUAGGCGGCAUUAUAAGUCAGAGGUGAAAGGCCGUCGCUUAACGAUGGAAUUGCCUUUGAUACUGUAGUGCUUGAAUUGGGUUGAGGCUGGCGGAAUGUGGCAUGUAGCGGUGAAAUGCAU